Molecule: unclassified non-coding RNA, 272 nt
Filed under: Trichoderma martiale
Lineage: Eukaryota; Fungi; Ascomycota; Sordariomycetes; Hypocreales; Hypocreaceae
Description: sequence contains 5.8S rRNA gene
Rfam family: 5.8S ribosomal RNA (bases 1-53)
Source: RNAcentral
GAACGCACAUUGCGCCCGCCAGUAUUCUGGCGGGCAUGCCUGUCCGAGCGUCAUUUCAACCCUCGAACCCCUCCGGGGGUCCGGCGUUGGGGACUUCGGGAACCCCUAAGACGGGAUCCCGGCCCCGAAAUACAGUGGCGGUCUCGCCGCAGCCUCUCAUGCGCAGUAGUUUGCACAACUCGCACCGGGAGCGCGGCGCGUCCACGUCCGUAAAACACCCAACUUCUGAAAUGUUGACCUCGGAUCAGGUAGGAAUACCCGCUGAACUUAAG